This 798-nucleotide ribosomal RNA is filed under the name uncultured Alphaproteobacteria bacterium. RNAcentral's name for it is "bacterial SSU rRNA". It matches the Rfam family "Bacterial small subunit ribosomal RNA", at positions 32 to 879 of the family's 1533-position model. Lineage: Bacteria; Pseudomonadati; Pseudomonadota; Alphaproteobacteria. The record is from RNAcentral.
AACGCUGGCGGCAGGCUAACACAUGCAGUCGAGCGCGCCUUCCGGGUGAGCGGCGGACGGGUUAGUAACGCGUGGGAACGUGCCCUUCUCUACGGAAUAGCCUCUGGAAACGGAGAGUAAUACCGUAUACGCCCUUUGGGGGAAAGAUUUAUCGGAGAAGGAUCGGCCCGCGUUAGAUUAGGUAGUUGGUGGGGUAACGGCCUACCAAGCCUACGAUCUAUAGCUGGUUUUAGAGGAUGAUCAGCAACACUGGGACUGAGACACGGCCCAGACUCCUACGGGAGGCAGCAGUGGGGAAUCUUAGACAAUGGGGGCAACCCUGAUCUAGCCAUGCCGCGUGAGUGAUGAAGGCCUUAGGGUCGUAAAGCUCUUUCGCCUGUGAUGAUAAUGACAGUAGCAGGUAAAGAAACCCCGGCUAACUCCGUGCCAGCAGCCGCGGUAAUACGGAGGGGGUUAGCGUUGUUCGGAAUUACUGGGCGUAAAGCGCGCGUAGGCGGAUUAGAAAGUUGGGGGUGAAAUCCCGGGGCUCAACCCCGGAACUGCCUCCAAAACUGCUAGUCUAGAGUUCGAGAGAGGUGAGUGGAAUUCCGAGUGUAGAGGUGAAAUUCGUAGAUAUUCGGAGGAACACCAGUGGCGAAGGCGGCUCACUGGCUCGAUACUGACGCUGAGGUGCGAAAGUUGUGGGGAGCCAAACAGGAUUUAAUCCCCUGUUAUUCCACAACGGUAACGAAAAUGGCAGCGACGGGGAAGGAUACUAAUCCGGGGAACACACCUAAGGGUUAGAGUUCGCCCUGGGGA